GCCCUAAAGGGGCGGGGGCGCGCGAGGCCGUGAGGGCCGUGUGGUGGCUUCCGGUUCCGCCGGGCGCGGGGGCCGCGGCGCUUCUCGGCCGGGGCCUCGGUGCGGGCGGUGCCGCCGCUGCUCCGUGCCCGCCAGCGGGAACGGCCCCGGGGCGCCCUCUGGGCGGCGCCGCCUCCGCCUUGGCAGCCCACUCCGCCCCGGCCUGCGGGACCAGCCGCCUCCGGGCUUAGUGAGAGCGGCGUUCGCCAGGUGCGGGUGAAGGACCGCGGCGAGCUGAGGAGCUCGCACCGGCCGCUCGCACCGGCCGCUCGCACCGGCGGGAAGGCAGCGGCCGCCCAGGGGAUGCUGAGGCGGUGCUGCUCGGCUCUCCAACGCUCGAUGUCGUGCCCUGGCCCUCUGUUUGACUUUCCCUGGCCGGUCCGGGCGGUGAGGUGGGACCAGGCCUUGCCCACGCGUGUGGUGACCGAGUAUUUUGCAGUCACAGGGAAUCCCCGUCCUUCAGUAUUACCGGAAGGGGAGAAAACACCAAACCUUUUACUGACAUAGGAAUUGGUCUUGUGAAUUGGCUUGUGCUGAACUGUACGUGCUCAAAGGCUCCUUCCAAGUAUUUGCUGUACUUCUAUUGUUCUGGACUUGAAGACCGUGACUAAUUAUUUCUGUGGAUAAGCUGGCCCUGCAACAUGAGUUAUCUCAAGUUUAAAUUGUCCUGGUUGCAUGAGGAGAAAGUAAUCUUUUCUUUUUCCUUUUGUUUUUCUCUUUUUAUUUUUUAAAUUCUGGUGUGUUGAUGUACAUACUAACUGAUAUGCAAACAGCCCUAAAUGUUGUAAUGAAUGGAUACAGAGGACAAACUUUCCUUUAAAAUGUUUUUCACAGAUUUUCAGUGUCAACAUGACUUCAGUAGGACAAACUCUUGUAGUGCCUCUGUAGUGGAACAUGAGGAAUAAAAGAUGUUUGGCUUCUUUACUUAUUUAUACC
RNAcentral lists this long non-coding RNA (975 nucleotides) under Parus major (Great Tit). RNAcentral's name for it is "lncRNA (ENSPMJG00000010427.1)". Lineage: Eukaryota; Metazoa; Chordata; Aves; Passeriformes; Paridae. The record is from RNAcentral.